Molecule: ribosomal RNA, 530 nt
Filed under: fungal endophyte
Lineage: Eukaryota; Fungi
Description: eukaryotic LSU rRNA
Rfam family: Eukaryotic large subunit ribosomal RNA
Source: RNAcentral
CGGCGAGUGAGCGGCAACGCUCAAAUUUGAAAUCUGGCUCGGCCCGGUUGUAAUUUGCAGAGGAGCUUUGGGCGCGGUGCCAACUGAGUCCCCUGGAACGGGGCGCCACAGAGGGUGAGAGCCCCGUAUAGUUGGACGCCUAGCCUGUGUAAAGCUCCUUCGACGAGUCGAGUAGUUUGGGAAUGCUGCUCAAAAUGGGAGGUAAAUUUCUUCUAAAGCUAAAUACCGGCCAGAGACCGAUAGCGCACAAGUAGAGUGAUCGAAAGAUGAAAAGCACUUUGAAAAGAGGGUUAAAUAGCACGUGAAAUUGUUGAAAGGGAAGCGCUUGUGACCAGACUUGCGCCCGGCUGAUCAUCCGGUGUUCUCACCGGUGCACUCUGCCGGGCUCAGGCCAGCAUCGGUUCUCGCGGGGGGACAAAGGCCCUGGGAACGUAGCUCCUCCGGGAGUGUUAUAGCCCAGGGUGUCAUACCCUCUCGGGGACCGAGGUUCGCGCAUCUGCAAGGAUGCUGGCGUAAUGGUCAUCAGCGAC